RNAcentral lists this ribosomal RNA (536 nucleotides) under uncultured bacterium. RNAcentral describes it as "partial 16S ribosomal RNA". It matches the Rfam family "Bacterial small subunit ribosomal RNA", at positions 355 to 882 of the family's 1533-position model. The record is from RNAcentral.
UGGGGAAUAUUGCACAAUGGGCGCAAGCCUGAUGCAGCCAUGCCGCGUGUGUGAAGAAGGCCUUCGGGUUGUAAAGCACUUUCAGCGAGGAGGAAGGUGGUGAACUUAAUACGUUCAUCAAUUGACGUUACUCGCAGAAGAAGCACCGGCUAACUCCGUGCCAGCAGCCGCGGUAAUACGGAGGGUGCAAGCGUUAAUCGGAAUUACUGGGCGUAAAGCGCACGCAGGCGGUUUGUUAAGUCAGAUGUGAAAUCCCCGGGCUCAACCUGGGAACUGCAUUUGAAACUGGCAAGCUAGAGUCUCGUAGAGGGGGGUAGAAUUCCAGGUGUAGCGGUGAAAUGCGUAGAGAUCUGGAGGAAUACCGGUGGCGAAGGCGGCCCCCUGGACGAAGACUGACGCUCAGGUGCGAAAGCGUGGGGAGCAAACAGAUUAGNUACCCUGGUAGUCCACGCUGUAAAACGAUGUCGAUUUUGGAGGUUGUGCCCUUGAGGCGUGGCUUCCGGAGCUAACGCGUUAAAUCGACCGCCNGGGGAGUA